RNAcentral lists this non-coding RNA (103 nucleotides) under Halobacillus sp. RNAcentral describes it as "Guanine sequence". It matches the Rfam family "Purine riboswitch aptamer". From Rfam's summary of the family: Riboswitches are metabolite binding domains within certain messenger RNAs that serve as precision sensors for their corresponding targets. Allosteric rearrangement of mRNA structure is mediated by ligand binding, and this results in modulation of gene expression. Lineage: Bacteria; Bacillati; Bacillota; Bacilli; Caryophanales; Bacillaceae. The record is from RNAcentral. RNAcentral also lists the same sequence under 1 other name.
UCAAACAAAUAGGUACACCUUCGUAUAAUUUUGGGGAUAUGGCCCAUGAGUUUCUACCGGACCGCCGUAAAUAGGUCUGACUACGCUGGUGAAUAGAUGACAU